CCCCUAGAUGUUCUGGGCCGCACGCGCGCUACACUGAACAGUUCAACAAGUCUUAACCUUGGCCGAUAGGUCUGGGUAAUCUUUGAACGCUGUUCGUGAUUGGGAUAGACCUUUGCAAUUAUGGGUCUUCAACGAGGAAUUCCUAGUAAACGCAAGUCAUCAGCUUGCAUUGAUUACGUCCCUGCCCUUUGUACACACCGCCCGUCGCACCUACCGAUUGAAUGGUCCGGUGAAAUCUCGGGACGGCGGCUUGGUCGCUUGCGUCCGACUGCUGAAACUUGAUUAAACCAUAUCAUUUCGAGGAAGGUGAAGUCGUANCA
This 320-nucleotide ribosomal RNA is filed under the name uncultured eukaryote. RNAcentral describes it as "partial 18S ribosomal RNA". It matches the Rfam family "Eukaryotic small subunit ribosomal RNA", at positions 1470 to 1796 of the family's 1831-position model. The record is from RNAcentral.